UCGGACCUCACGCUAUCAGAUGAGCCUAGGUCGGAUUAGCUAGUUGGUGAGGUAAUGGCUCACCAAGGCGACGAUCCGUAACUGGUCUGAGAGGAUGAUCAGUCACACUGGAACUGAGACACGGUCCAGACUCUAUACGGGAGGCAGCAGUGGGGAAUAUUGGACAAUGGGCGAAAGCCUGAUCCAGCCAUGCCGCGUGUGUGAAGAAGGUCUUCGGAUUGUAAAGCACUUUAAGUUGGGAGGAAGGGUUGUACGUUAAUACCGUGCAAUUUUGACGUUACCGACAGAAUAAGCACCGGCUAACUCUGUGCCAGCAGCCGCGGUAAUACAGAGGGUGCAAGCGUUAAUCGGAAUUACUGGGCGUAAAGCGCGCGUAGGUGGUUUGUUAAGUUGGAUGUGAAAUCCCCGGGCUCAACCUGGGAACUGCAUCCAAAACUGGCA
Molecule: ribosomal RNA, 441 nt
Filed under: Pseudomonas sp. acu15
Lineage: Bacteria; Pseudomonadati; Pseudomonadota; Gammaproteobacteria; Pseudomonadales; Pseudomonadaceae
Description: bacterial SSU rRNA
Rfam family: Bacterial small subunit ribosomal RNA
Source: RNAcentral